RNAcentral lists this long non-coding RNA (235 nucleotides) under Fukomys damarensis (Damara mole-rat). RNAcentral describes it as "lncRNA (ENSFDAG00000027421.1)". Lineage: Eukaryota; Metazoa; Chordata; Mammalia; Rodentia; Bathyergidae. The record is from RNAcentral.
GUCAUCUCUCAUCACACCCAGAGGGUGUGCAGAGCUUUGACUGGAGUUCUAUUUUGGACAAAACUUUAAAACUCAAGCAGACCUUCCAUGCAACAUCUGGCCCAACAGCUGUAUUUUGAAAAUGGAUGAAGUAAGAGCUACAGAAGUGGAAUCACUGAGUGAACUAAGGCAGAACCAAGGAAUGAAGAGUCCCUGCCUCCGGGGAAGAAAGAAGAGCAUCUUGUACCAUCCUUGA